UUUGAAGCUAUGGCGCCAGUCGUAGUGGAGCCAUCCUUGAAAUACCACCCUUACUCUUUUCGAUGUCUAACCGCGCCCCUGGAUGGGGCCGGGACCCAGCCUGGCGGGCAGUUUGACUGGGGCGGUCGCCUCCUAAAGAGUAACGGAGGCGUGCGAAGGUAAACUCAAUGUAGAUCGGAAACCUACUGAAGAGCGUAAUGGUAUAUGUUUGCCUGACUGCAAGAUUUACAGAUCGAGCAGAGACGAAAGUCGGUCAUAAUGAUCCACAAGUACUGCGUGGAAAGGCUUGUGCUUAACGAAUCAAAGAUACGCCAGGGAUAACAGGCUGAUAAUUCCCUAGAGUCCAUAUCGACGGAAUUGUUUGGCACCUCGAUGUUGACUGAUCAUAUCCUGGGGCUGAAGAAGGUCCCAAGGGUUCGGCUGUUCGCCGAGUAACAUGGUACCUGAGUUGAGUUUAGAACGUCGUGAGACAGUUUGGAUUCUACCUGGGGUGCGCGUAAGAAUUGAGAAAACCACAUCCUUGUACGAGAGGACCGGAUGUGUACAACCUCUGGUAUAGUAAUUGUCCGGCCACGGGCAUGGUUACUACGCUACGUUGUGAAAGGAUAAGUACUGAAAGCAUAUCAAGUACGAAACUUUUUUCAAGACAUAUUCUUUAUCGUAUUGUAUAUCGUACAAGUUGAGUACGUUAAUAGAUAAGCUGUGUAUUAUUUGUAAAAAUAGAAGCAUCCUUAUACUAAAC
RNAcentral lists this ribosomal RNA (742 nucleotides) under uncultured Micromonas. RNAcentral describes it as "partial Bacterial large subunit ribosomal RNA". It matches the Rfam family "Bacterial large subunit ribosomal RNA", at positions 2156 to 2906 of the family's 2925-position model. The record is from RNAcentral. Lineage: Eukaryota; Viridiplantae; Chlorophyta; Mamiellophyceae; Mamiellales.